CAUGCAGUCGAGGGGCAUCACAUGAAGCAGCAAUGCGGAUGGUGGCGACCGGCGCACGGGUGAGUAACACGUAUGCAACCUACCUUCAACUGGAGGAUAACCCGUUGAAAGACGGACUAAUACUCCAUAACACAGGGGUCCCGCAUGGGGAUAUUUGUUAAAGAUUAAUCGGUUGAAGAUGGGCAUGCGUUCCAUUAGCUGGUUGGCGGGGUAACGGCCCACCAAGGCAACGAUGGAUAGGGGAACUGAGAGGUUUAUCCCCCACACUGGAACUGAGACACGGUCCAGACUCCUACGGGAGGCAGCAGUGAGGAAUAUUGGUCAAUGGGGGCAACCCUGAACCAGCCAAGUCGCGUGAAGGAUGAAGGUCUUAUGGAUUGUAAACUUCUUUUAUACGGGAAUAAAGUGGGGGACGUGUCCCCCUUUGCAUGUACCGUAUGAAUAAGGAUCGGCUAACUCCGUGCCAGCAGCCGCGGUAAUACGGAGGAUCCGAGCGUUAUCCGGAUUUAUUGGGUUUAAAGGGUGCGCAGGCGGGAUGUUAAGUCGGCGGUGAAAUUUUGCAGCUCAACUGUAAAAGUGCCUUCGAUACUGGCCUCCUUGAGUGUGGAUGAAGUAGGCGGAAUUUGUGGUGUAGCGGUGAAAUGCUUAGAUAUCACGAGGAACUCCGAUUGCGCAGGCAGCUUACUAAACCACAACUGACGCUCAUGCACGAAGGCGUGGGGAUCAAACAGGAUUAGAUACCCUGGUAGUCCACGCAGUAAACGAUGAUUACUAGUUGUUUGCGAUACAAUGUAAGCGACUGAGCGA
Molecule: ribosomal RNA, 807 nt
Filed under: bacterium enrichment culture clone BH61
Lineage: Bacteria
Description: bacterial SSU rRNA
Rfam family: Bacterial small subunit ribosomal RNA
Source: RNAcentral